AGAGAGAGAGAGAGAGAGAGAGAGAGAGAGAUAAAGGUUGAAGAGAGUGUGUCAACACCACCCAAAAAGGAGGUCGUUGAAGAGGUUGAGAAGGAAGCACCUUAUGUUGCUCCUCCUCCCUACAAACCUAUUGUUCCUUUCCUAUAAAUGCUUGUGAAAGCCAAGGCGGAGGCCCAAUUCAAAAAGUUCAUGGAACUUCUCAAAAA
Molecule: long non-coding RNA, 206 nt
Filed under: Lathyrus oleraceus (garden pea)
Lineage: Eukaryota; Viridiplantae; Streptophyta; Magnoliopsida; Fabales; Fabaceae
Description: Pisum sativum (pea) long non-coding RNA (PSAT_LNC040584)
Source: RNAcentral